AACGAACGCUGGCGGCGCGCCUAAUACAUGCAAGUCGAGCGAGAAGACGUAGCAAUACGUUUGUAAAGCGGCGAACGGGUGAGGAAUACAUGGGUAACCUACCCUCGAGUGGGGAAUAACUAGCCGAAAGGUUAGCUAAUACCGCGUACGCUCCUUGGACUUCGGUUCAGGGAGGAAAGCGAUACCGUGGGUAUCGCGCUCUUGGAUGGGCUCAUGUCCUAUCAGCUUGUUGGUGAGGAACGGCUCACCAAGGCUUCGACGGGUAGCUGGUCUGAGAGGACGAUCAGCCACACUGGCACUGCGACACGGGCCAGACUCCUACGGGAGGCAGCAGUAAGGAAUAUUGCGCAAUGGGCGAAAGCCUGACGCAGCGACGCCGCGUGGGGGAUGAAGGUCUUCGGAUUGUAAACCCCUUUUCGGGAGGGAAGAUGGAACGAGCAAUCGUUCGGACGGUACCUCCAGAAGCAGCCAC
This 472-nucleotide ribosomal RNA is filed under the name uncultured bacterium. Its description in RNAcentral is "bacterial SSU rRNA". It matches the Rfam family "Bacterial small subunit ribosomal RNA", at positions 29 to 494 of the family's 1533-position model. The record is from RNAcentral.